This 354-nucleotide unclassified non-coding RNA is filed under the name soil metagenome. Its description in RNAcentral is "partial contains 5.8S ribosomal RNA, internal transcribed spacer 2, and large subunit ribosomal RNA". The stretch from base 1 to 120 matches the Rfam family "5.8S ribosomal RNA", at positions 35 to 154 of the family's 154-position model. The record is from RNAcentral.
GAUGAAGAACGUAGCGAAAUGCGAUAAGUAAUGUGAAUUGCAGAAUUCCGCGAAUCAUCGAAUCUUUGAACGCACAUUGCGCCCCCUGGCAUUCCGGGGGGCAUGCCUGUCCGAGCGUCAUUUCUGCCCUCCAGCCCGGCUGGGUGUUGGGCGCUGUCCCCCCGGGGACACGCCCCAAAGGCAGUGGCGGCGCCGCGUCGGGUCCUCGAGCGUAUGGGGCUUUGUCACCCGCUCGGGACGGACUCGUCGGCGCUGGUCUUCCUCCAGGCGACCCUUCGGGGCUCGUCUUCCUUCGGUUGACCUCGGAUCAGGUAGGGUUACCCGCUGAACUUAAGCAUAUCAAUAAGCGGAGGA